ACAAAAACCCUGCUGCCUUAGUACAUAUACAGUCAGCACGAAGUGAGUUUGAUUUAUUGAUUCCUAUCAGCUAAGGAGAGGGAGGCAGAUCUGAUGAAAACCGACCUAAGGAAAAACAGCUUUUUAUGUGCAGUUGUGGAAAACAACUCACCCUGGGAAGCAUCUAAUGCAGAGUCUGGUUACUUGGGGGUGUUUAUAGUAUUGUUAUCUGGGAUGAUUUUUAAAACCAUUCUUCCCUUUAAUUUUUUUUUCUCCCAAUAAGUGUUUGUCUGGUCACUGUUCUUUAAAUAUAAGUUUGCAAAACAGCUGUGAAAAGUAACAUGUGCCCCAUUGUGACCACUAGAGGGCACGAUGUGAACACAAAUUGUUCCAGCAGUCCAGACUAUGAGGGAUGCUAGAGGAAUAACAAACUCAAGUCAGAUGUAAGGUGAUGUGCUGUGAAAUACAGAGACUGGGUAUCAUAUGGAUCCAUUAGUUUGCAUAUUUACAGAGCACCUGACAUUCCUCUAUUGUGCUGGGCAGCUAUAAACAGUUCCCUUUACAGGUUAGAGUCAGUUCUCUAGGAUCUGUCAGUGAAGACCUCCAAGAUGACAGUUCUCACUCGCUGUCUCUGGUUACUGCUUCUCUGGGCUCAGGGCUCCAGGGGGCAGAUUGUGCUGACUCAGACUCCAGAAUCCCUGGCAGUGUCUCCAGGAGACAGAGUCACCAUCAACUGCAAAGCCAGCUCCAGUGUUAGCACCAGCUACAUGGCCUGGUACCAACAGAAAUCAGGGCAAGCUCCUAAGCUCCUUAUCUACAGCACUUCCACCCGUCCCUCUGGGAUCCCAGACCGGUUCAGUGGCAGUGGGUCUGGCACUGACUACACAUUCACAAUCAGCCGGGUUGAAGCCGAUGAUGCUGGAGAUUAUUACUGCCAGCAGAGUCACAGCUACCCUCUCGCAGUGAUAAAGACCAGUACAAAAACCUCCCUGCCAUUGUUUCACUUACGUAGAAAUCACAGCUUCUAUUUAACUGUUCCUGUUUCUGUGAAAAUCAAUAGGAUAGUGAUGGAACGAGGACAGCGACUGUUACAAAUGGGAGCAGGAUGGUUACCAGGAGGCUGCAGGGAGAGUACUGGGUCCAUUGUUGUUGGAGAUUGUCAGCUUUUGCCGUGGUGGGGCUGGGCUUCAAUAGCUCUUAAAGAAGCCAUGGGAAGCCCAUGCUCAUGUAACUAUUUCCUGAUGUUGACUGUCUAGCUACUACUGACCAGUGUCUCAUCUACUGGUGAGAAGGGUUCAGCAGGACAAUUCUGGCAGUUUCUUGAUUCCUCUGAUUUCCUUGACUCAGGUCAGUCUGGCUAUAGGCCGGAGCCUGGGGUAGAAAUGGCACUGGUUGCACUGGCUGAUCAUCUCCUCCCAGCCAUGGACAAAGAGAAAGGGUGAAAUCCUGGCCCUCUUGAUGUCAGUGGGAGUUUUGCCGUUGAUUUUAAUGGAGAUAAUUGAGGAGACACAGGCUGUCAUGCAUUCAGCUUGCUGGUGCCACCCAGUUCUAAAUCUCCAUCA
Non-coding RNA from Chelonia mydas (Green sea turtle), 1541 nucleotides. The record is from the annotation of a RefSeq genome assembly. Lineage: Eukaryota; Metazoa; Chordata; Testudines; Cheloniidae.